Molecule: non-coding RNA, 574 nt
Organism: Ictidomys tridecemlineatus (thirteen-lined ground squirrel)
Lineage: Eukaryota; Metazoa; Chordata; Mammalia; Rodentia; Sciuridae
Source: RefSeq, a predicted model, not a curated record
UCAGCAGCUGCAGGGUCCGCUGCAAGCUGUGCUUCUCAAGUUCUGGUGCUGUCUAUUCUCAGAAGCUGUGCUCUUGAGGACCAAAGAAGACCACAUGCCCAGGAACUCCCACUAUCCGACUCACUCUAUCCCAAAUUUUCAGGAGCUGCUCUGCCAAAAAAAAAAAAGAAAAAAGGAAAGAUUGCUCCGCCAGCCCUCGGGCACUCUGGUGUGGGCCACACUCCUGGGGCACUGUGGUACGCUCUUGCAGCUUCUGAGGAUGGAACCCAGGGCAUGGCAUACGCCAAGCACCUACACCACCACUGGGCCACAAGCCUAUGCUGAAGGACUCUGCAGCCCGGUCUGUCCACACCCUGCUGCUACGUAGCCAUGGAGGUCUGCAAAGGGUAUGGCAUGGCCAUGCUCCAGUAAAACUGUUCACAAACAGGUGCUGGUAGAGGGCCUUAGUGUGCCGACUCGUUUUAAACGGAAUGCAGUCCAAGAUCAUUAUAAAACCCCAAAUCUAGAAAAGUCCUGAUUUUACUGAACACUGGAAAUAAAUGACCUGAACAUCUAAAAUAGAGAUCUAACACAA